Molecule: ribosomal RNA, 491 nt
Filed under: uncultured bacterium
Lineage: Bacteria
Description: partial 16S ribosomal RNA
Rfam family: Bacterial small subunit ribosomal RNA
Source: RNAcentral
AGUGAACGCUGGCGGUAGGCCUAACACAUGCAAGUCGAACGGCAGCACAGUAAGAGCUUGCUCUUACGGGUGGCGAGUGGCGGACGGGUGAGGAAUACAUCGGAAUCUACUUUUUCGUGGGGGAUAACGUAGGGAAACUUACGCUAAUACCGCAUACGACCUACGGGUGAAAGCAGGGGAUCUUCGGACCUUGCGCGAUUGAAUGAGCCGAUGUCGGAUUAGCUAGUUGGCGGGGUAAAGGCCCACCAAGGCGACGAUCCGUAGCUGGUCUGAGAGGAUGAUCAGCCACACUGGAACUGAGACACGGUCCAGACACCUACGGGAGGCAGCAGUGGGGAAUAUUGGACAAUGGGCGCAAGCCUGAUCCAGCCAUACCGCGUGGGUGAAGAAGGCCUUCGGGUUGUAAAGCCCUUUUGUUGGGAAAGAAAAGCAGCAGGUUAAUACCCCGCUGUUCUGACGGUACCCAAAGAAUAAGCACCGGCUAACUGCGU